This 253-nucleotide ribosomal RNA is filed under the name uncultured bacterium. RNAcentral describes it as "partial 16S ribosomal RNA". It matches the Rfam family "Bacterial small subunit ribosomal RNA", at positions 524 to 776 of the family's 1533-position model. The record is from RNAcentral.
UACGAAGGGGGCUAGCGUUGCUCGGAAUGACUGGGAGUAAAGGGCGCGUAGGCGGCUUACAUAGUUAGGCGUGAAAUUCCUGGGCUCAACCUGGGGACUGCGUCUAAUACAUGUAGGCUUGAGUGUGAAAGAGGGUUGUGGAAUUUCCAGUGUAGAGGUGAAAUUCGUAGAUAUUGGAAAGAACACCGGUGGCGAAGGCGGCGACCUGGUUCAUUACUGACGGUGAGGCGCGAAAGCGUGGGGAGCAAACAGG